GACGAACGCUGGCGGCGUGCCUAACACAUGCAAGUCGAACGGAAAGGCCCUGCUUUUGUGGGGUUCUCGAGUGGCGAACGGGUGAGUAACACGUGAGUAACCUGCCCUUGACUUUGGGAUAACUUCAGGAAACUGGGGCUAAUACCGGAUAGGAGCUCCUGCUGCAUGGUGGGGGUUGGAAAGUUUCGGCGGUUGGGGAUGGACUCGCGGCUUAUCAGCUUGUUGGUGGGGUAGUGGCUUACCAAGGCUUUGACGGGUCGCCGGCCUGAGAGGGUGACCGGCCACAAUGGGACUGAGAUACGGCCCAGACUCCUACGGGAGGCAGCAGUGGGGAAUAUUGCACAAUGGGCGGAAGCCUGAUGCAGCAACGCCGCGUGCGGGAUGACGGCCUUCGGGUUGUAAACCGCUUUCGCCUGUGACGAAGCGUGAGUGACGGUAAUGGGUAAAGAAGCACCGGCUAACUACGUG
RNAcentral lists this ribosomal RNA (468 nucleotides) under uncultured bacterium. RNAcentral's name for it is "partial 16S ribosomal RNA". It matches the Rfam family "Bacterial small subunit ribosomal RNA", at positions 28 to 507 of the family's 1533-position model. The record is from RNAcentral.